RNAcentral lists this non-coding RNA (23 nucleotides) under Callorhinchus milii (elephant shark). The record is from RNAcentral. Lineage: Eukaryota; Metazoa; Chordata; Chondrichthyes; Chimaeriformes; Callorhinchidae. RNAcentral also lists the same sequence under 2 other names.
AGCUACAUCUGGUUACUGGGUCU